This 2476-nucleotide unclassified non-coding RNA is filed under the name Hevea brasiliensis (rubber tree). The record is from RNAcentral. Lineage: Eukaryota; Viridiplantae; Streptophyta; Magnoliopsida; Malpighiales; Euphorbiaceae.
AGAUACACACUCACUAGCACAGGAGUCAAACCCAUUUCUUCCAUCUCCAUUUUCAAAUCCUUUCAUCUUCUUCAUAAUCAAAAAGCUUUCUUUAGAAAUCCAUAAAAAUAUGUUGCUAAAGGCUGCUCCUGCUUUCUCUUUGCUGAGCACUCAUGGAGACAAUCUGGGUCCUCUGUUUUCCUCUGUUUCUUCGUCGUUUAAUAGUCUUUCUCCUACGAUUUUUCGUGGAAAAACUGGGACUGGGUUUGUUCUCUGUGCAUCAAAGGGUUCAAAUGACAAGCCGUUGACUGGGGUUAUUUUUGAGCCCUUUGAAGAGGUAAAGAAGGAGCUCAGUUUGGUCCCUACUGUCCCUCAAGUUUCUCUUGCUAGACAGAAGUAUUCUGAUGAGUGUGAAGCCGCCAUUAAUGAACAGAUCAAGUGAGUGUUCCUUCUUGGGGUAAUUUUGGUUAUUCUUGAUUUUGUUUGUUUUGUGUUUGCUCAAAAAAAAAUGAUCGGUUGAUAGGGGACUAGAUUUAGUGUUUCUUUCAUGAUUUGAUUGUGUCGUUUUGUUAUUAUACUGAACUGUUUUUUCUUAUAGAUUUUGCUUCUCAUGUUUCUUUUGUUUGUGAUUUUCUUUGGUUUGUGUAACUUGGAACUCGAUUUUCGUGGAUUUCUUUUACACUCUUUAAUGGUCUUAUUUCUGGCUUCGUGGUUGUUUGCCAUAUAUAUUUCUUUUAGUUUUGAGCUGGGAUUCCGUUGCAUUUCUUUCUGUCUGUGUUUUUUUCUCCCCUAGAACGCAUUUCCGAGUAAAUUGGGUGCCAUGAUGUCUUCAGUAGAACUCUAAUAUAUAGAUUUAUAUAUCCGUUUAUCUUUCUAAUGAUUGUGUUACGUUUGGAAGGACAGUGUGGAGUACAAUGUCUCCUACGUGUACCAUGCCAUAUUUGCUUAUUUUGACAGGGACAAUGUUGCUCUCAAGGGUCUUGCCAAGUAAAAGAUUUCUCUCCGAAUUUUCUAGUUGUCUUCUUCUUCUUUUUUUUUUUGGGGGAUAAAAAUAGCUUGUGGCUUUGUUAAACAGGUUUUUCAAGGAAUCAAGUGUUGAAGAAAGAGAGCAUGCUGAGAAAUUGAUGGAAUACCAGAACAAAAGGGGUGGAAAAGUUAAGUUGCAGUCUAUCGUGAUGCCUCUUUCAGAGUUUGAUCAUGCGGAGAAGGGAGAUGCAUUGUAUGCAAUGGAGCUUGCUUUGUCUCUGGAAAAAUUAACAAAUGAGAAGCUCCUGAACUUACACAGCGUGGCUGAGCAGAAUCAUGAUGCGCAAUUGACAGAUUUCAUUGAGAGCGAGUUCUUAGCAGAGCAGGUGGAAGCCAUCAAAAAAAUUUCUGAAUAUGUUGCUGAGCUGAGAAGAGUGGGCAAAGGACAUGGUAUGAAACCAAACUCUCUUCUUUCAUAGCCAUUUUUUUCAUAACCAUUUUUCUUAAACAAUGUUCUCUUACCAUUCCAUCAUACAUGAAUUUUUCUUCAGACAAAUCGUCAUCCUUUAAAUACAUGAGCUUUUUCUUGUGUUUUUCUGUUUUCUAAAUUUGUUUUGGUGGAUUACCAGGUGUAUGGCACUUCGACCAGAUGCUGCUUCACGAGGAAGAGGCUGUUGUUGCAUAAUGAUGGAAACAUCUUGUUUGCUGCUUAAUUGCCAUUUUGAGGGUUAUUCAUUCUAUCAUUUUGAGGGCUGUGUUUAGCUCAUAUAUUAGAUGAUAUUGAUAGAUAUGAUAGACGAAUUAAAAAUGGAUUUAGUCCCCUUACUUGACAAUGGUCAUCCCGUUUAAAAUAGUUGAAAUAUAUGGAUAUCGUCUAUUUCUAUUUUUUAUGGUGUCUUUGUUGCUAACACAAAGUAUUGACAAUGGCAUAAUGCUAUAUGAUUCAUUGUAUGGUUACAUAGAACACUGAAUUCUUAGCCAUGCUUAAAUGGAAUAAUGAGUCAAUUUCACUCGUAGGCUUGUGGUUCCUGUGCCUGGACUAUGAUAUGCUAGAGUCCAAGAAAUUCUUGUUGCAGUUCAUUUAUCUCUUCUAUUGAGCACUUUAAGAGAUAACAGUAGCAUUCUUUUGGUCGGUCCCCACCGUAUCCUUCCCAGGCCAUGCUCUUUUUGACAUAUUUGUGGUAUUCCUCGUGCUUAAGUGGUUCUGGCUGCAAUCAAUGUGCAGAUCAGCUUGCUUAGAUGAUGUGUAGUUUUAUCCAUGUGGGGUUUAAGCAUGCCUCAAGAAUUUCUCACUGUGGCAUGUCUUAUUCAAUUGCUUAUCAGAGUAAUCAUGUUGGAACGUUGUAGUGGCUUCCAGCUGCACUGGAAAGGGAAGGGUUCGUUGGCAAUUGAAAUAUGGGAGGUAAGCCAUAGCUUGGACUUCUCUUUCAGGCUAUAGGAAAACGCAGACAGGGUUUAUUUGGAGGUUUAGAUACGUCGAGGUCACAAACAAUGCAAAGGACGUAUUUAUUGGUUAUUAGAUGUGCUCACU